GGUGAAUCCCAGGGCUCACCCUGGAACUGCCUCUUAUACUGCUGGUCUUGAGUUCGAGAGAGGUGAGUGGAAUUCCGAGUGUAGAGGUGAAAUUCGUAGAUAUUCGGAGGAACACCAGUGGCGAAGGCGGCUCACUGGCUCGAUACUGAC
This 150-nucleotide ribosomal RNA is filed under the name uncultured bacterium. RNAcentral's name for it is "partial 16S ribosomal RNA". It matches the Rfam family "Bacterial small subunit ribosomal RNA", at positions 593 to 744 of the family's 1533-position model. The record is from RNAcentral.